Molecule: long non-coding RNA, 2225 nt
Organism: Salvelinus fontinalis (brook trout)
Lineage: Eukaryota; Metazoa; Chordata; Actinopteri; Salmoniformes; Salmonidae
Exons: 4
Source: RefSeq, a predicted model, not a curated record
UGAAAAGUCAUUACAUUGGUCGUUAGGGCAAAUCUGGUGUGAGGGGGGGUUCACACCUAGCUCGGCUAUUAGACUGUUCUUUAGUAAAGGUUGAAUAGUCUAUUGUUCAGCUAUUAGCCCAACUUGCAACAAAUUGCUGUUCCUCUCUCAUUCCUUUCCCUCUUCCACGCGUCAUCAUUCUGCUCCGGAGUGGCUCGCUUUGUGGGCGUGCUGGCAGGAUAGCGCAGCGUCUUCAGUUGCGCGUCAAGAAUUCAGCAUACAGUAGCACGUUUGUAUGAAGAAAAGGAAGUCAAAGCGGACACCUACGAAGAUGGCAUCUCAGAGAGCGAGCAAAUUUACAGCCAUUUUCACUGGACUAUCUCUUGCUAAGUCAUGGGUUAGCCUUGCAAUAACCAAGUGAUGGUUGGGAGCCGGCAGCACCUGCAGAAAGACUUCUUCCUCUACAACGCUUCCAAGGCCAGUGCAAAUCCUACAUUAAUCUGCACGAGGUGAGCGAGCACUUCUGCCUGCCCCUUGGGGAGAACGUGAUCAUCCCUUCGACCCCCAUGAGGAGGGAAUUCACCCUAAGGGUCUUCUCUGAGAAGAACAACACCUCAGAGUAACUGUGAGGGGAGGGAGAGUGGGGUUAGGGAGUGUAUCUAUGAAUUAGUGUGCGAAUGUUUGGUUUCUGUGGGUGAACAUUUGUGUGUGUGAGUGGCAUGCCAGUCAAGAGUAGCAGUAAAAAUAAAGCGUCCAUGGCAGUAAAAAUGGCGUACGCUUCGAUCUCAAUCUUCUGCCACGGCGAUGAGAACACAAUUUGGUCAGACCAAAUAGAGGUUAGUAAAUUGACCUGCGUCUCCCUCACCUCCCAAUCUGUUGUCCAAAUUACCAUAUCCAUCUGUUAAUUUCUGUAUGUCUGUGUCUUUGUCCUCCACCUGCCAAAAAUACAUCACUCAAACUUGAAUGAAAAAUAGUCCCAUCACUGACAAUCUCAGUCUGUCUGUCUCUCUAUCUCAGUCUUUGGCUCUGUCUGUCAGACUGUCUGUCUCUAGCUUUUUCCUUUAACGAGUCCGACGAGAAAGAUAUACUGCUUUCCCGGGAAUAGGCCCAGAUACACGUCAUUUGCGUAAAGAAAAGAUGAAGGAAAGAGGACGCAGAUCAGGCUGCCUUUUGAGAAUGGGUAGACGAGCGAGUAAACACCCAUUGCCAUCAAUUCUACUUGCUAACAUGCAAUCAUUGGAAAAUAAAAUGGAUGACCCACAAUUAUGAUUAUCCUACCAACGGGACAUUAAGAAUUGUAAUAUCCUGUGUUCCAUCGAGUCGUGGCUGAACAACGACACGGACAAUAUAGAGCUGGAGGGAUUUUCAAUGCGCCGGCAGAACAGAGAAGCUAAGUAAGACGAGGGGUGGGGGUGUGUGUCUCGUUGUCAAUAACAGCUCGUGCGCGAUGUCUAAUAUUAAAGAAGUCUCAAGUUAUUGCUCGCCAGAGGUAGAGUACCUUAGCUGUAAGCUAAGCUCUAAGCUGUAGACCACACUAUCUACCAAGAGUUCUCAUCUAUAUUAUUUGUAGCCAUCUAUUUACCACCAUAGACCGAUAUUGGCACCUAGAGCGCACUUAACCAACUCUAUAAGGCCAAAAACAAAGAAUAAAGUGCUCACCCAGAAGCGGCGCUCCUAGUGGCCGGGGUCUUUAAUGCAAGGAAACUUAAAUCAGUUUUACCAAAUUUUUACCAGCAUGUCACAUGUGCAACCAGAGGGAUAAAAACUCUAGACCAACUUUACUCCACAUACAGAGAUGCAUACAAAGCUCUCCCCCGCCCUCCAUUUGGCAAAUCUGACCAUAAUUCUAUCCUUCUGAUUCCUGCUUACAAGCAAAAACUAAAGCAGGAAGUACCAGUGACUCGCUCAAUACGGAAGUGGUCAGAUGGCACGGAUGCUAUGCUACAGGACUGUUUUGCUAGCACAGACUGGAAUAUGUUCCGGGAUUCAUCUGUCACUCUGGUAUAAAGGAUUUGGAGACAGGCGCAGGAAUACAUCAUCUGGAAUUUGAAUACACCCAAAACAAACACGUAUACAAAACACUGGGAUGUGCCCAAACAAAAGAGCGAGGGUAAACCUCGUAGAAUGUCACGGUAUGAGACCCGUAAUACACAAAGCACAAAACACGCAGCACAGGCUGAAACAACGCAUAGGUACUCACACGACCAACGGACAUGGGAACAAUAAUCGACAGCCCAAUGGGGAAA